GGCCGUGGUUCAGUGGAACAGUAUCUGCUUUGGAUUUAGAUAGUCCCAGGUUCAAUCCCUGGCUGGGAAAGACCA
Podarcis lilfordi (Lilford's wall lizard) is the source of this 75-nucleotide non-coding RNA. The record is from the annotation of a GenBank genome assembly. NCBI's taxonomy places the organism in Eukaryota, Metazoa, Chordata, Lepidosauria, Squamata, Lacertidae.